UUCUAGGCAGUGCAAACAGUUAGUGCAUUUGGCUGCCAACCAAAAGGUUGAAGGUUCAAAUCCACCUAGAAA
Molecule: transfer RNA, 72 nt
Filed under: Loxodonta africana (African savanna elephant)
Lineage: Eukaryota; Metazoa; Chordata; Mammalia; Proboscidea; Elephantidae
Rfam family: tRNA
About the family: Transfer RNA (tRNA) molecules are approximately 80 nucleotides in length. Their secondary structure includes four short double-helical elements and three loops (D, anti-codon, and T loops).
Source: Rfam by way of RNAcentral